AGUGACUGACUCCCCCCUCACACACCCUGCACAGAACAUCCCUGCAGGGUCAAACAUAGCAUUACUAGGAUCCCCGGAGCCCUGAACGGCCACUUGAUCUGCUCCAUCUCCGAGCGCUGCGCCUCCUCCGGCCUGCAUUGGUACGACGGAGCCGGCGCGCGGAUCCUGGAGGAAACUGAAGCUGGCAAAAGCAAUAGGCUGAGCAUGCGCAUCAUCUGGCAGCACCGGGGGGCGGCGCUGGAGUGCCGGGUGCAGGGCUACCGGAAUAGGUGCCUCCUCAAAAGGUCCCAGCCUCCAGCCACAGGUGAGUUGCAUUAUGUAUGGGGCCUUCCCUUUCUAGGGGGUGGCAGCUCCCAUCAGGCCCCAGGGCAGGGGCUGGCUGGGGGGCAGGGAAUGGGUCAUGGGGCCUUUCCCCUCUAGCAGGCACUGACUAAUCAGGUCUGAGGGCAGGGGUCUGGCUGGUGCUGGGGGUGGGGAAUGUGAUACGGGACCUUUACCCUGUAGGGGGCGCCAGCUCCCAUCCGGCCCCAAGGUGUGGGACUGGUUGGCUCAGAGUGGCAGGGAAUUGGGUGCGAGGCCUUUCCCCUCUAGGGGGUGCUGGUUCUGACCCAUCUCCAAUGGCCUUUUCAGGCCGGCCCCCCCGCCUGAAGGUCCUGGUGGACAUGGACGGCCCAGGCCCGAUCAGGGAGGGCGACUCAUUCACGCUGAGAUGUGUGGGGGACAGCGGGUCGCUGGACCAGGUCUACUUCUGGAUUCACAAUGAGGAGCUGCACGGGGGCCCCUCUAGGCAGAUUGAAGGGGCGACCUUGUCUGACGGGGGCAAUUACACCUGCAUGAAGUGGGUCUCCGACAUAGGACGUGCUUACCUGGCCAUAUCCCCCACCACCUAUGUGGCCAUCCUUGUCCCCCCUGUGGUGCAUGUGGUGGCCACCCCAGGCCCUCAUCGCAGCACGGGGGAAUCCCUGUCCCUGUCGUGCCGGCUGGACACCAGCGCUUUUGGCGGAUUGGGCUUCUCCUGGUACAAGGAUGGCGAGCGGCUGGGGUGGGCACAGGCAGAACUGGCUUUCCUGGGAGUCCAGGUG
Molecule: long non-coding RNA, 1082 nt
Filed under: Chrysemys picta bellii (western painted turtle)
Lineage: Eukaryota; Metazoa; Chordata; Testudines; Emydidae
Description: lncRNA (ENSCPBG00000006343.1)
Source: RNAcentral